AGUGAACGUUGGCGGUAGGCCUAACACAUGCAAGUCGAACGGCAGCACAGUAAGAGCUUGCUCUUACGGGUGGCGAGUGGCGGACGGGUGAGGAAUACAUCGGAAUCUACUUUUUCGUGGGGGAUAACGUAGGGAAACUUACGCUAAUACCGCAUACGACCUACGGGUGAAAGCAGGGGAUCUUCGGACCUUGCGCGAUUGAAUGAGCCGAUGUCGGAUUAGCUAGUUGGCGGGGUAAAGGCCCACCAAGGCGACGAUCCGUAGCUGGUCUGAGAGGAUGAUCAGCCACACUGGAACUGAGACACGGUCCAGACUCCUACGGGAGGCAGCAGUGGGGAAUAUUGGACAAUGGGCGCAAGCCUGAUCCAGCCAUACCGCGUGGGUGAAGAAGGCCUUCGGGUUGUAAAGCCCUUUUGUUGGGAAAGAAAAGCAGCAGGUUAAUACCCCGCUGCUCUGACGGUACCCAAAGAAUAAGCACCGGCUAACUUCGUG
This 492-nucleotide ribosomal RNA is filed under the name uncultured bacterium. Its description in RNAcentral is "partial 16S ribosomal RNA". It matches the Rfam family "Bacterial small subunit ribosomal RNA", at positions 29 to 507 of the family's 1533-position model. The record is from RNAcentral.